Molecule: long non-coding RNA, 6126 nt
Filed under: Sus scrofa (pig)
Lineage: Eukaryota; Metazoa; Chordata; Mammalia; Artiodactyla; Suidae
Description: lncRNA (ENSSSCG00025045648.1)
Source: RNAcentral
GCAUGUGGAAGUUCCUGGGGCAGGGGAUUGAACCCAUGUCAUAGCAGCAAUCCAAGCCACUGCAGUGACAACACUGGAUUCUUAACCUGCUGAGCCACUGGGGGAAUCCCUUAAUGUUUUCUAUCAGACCAACUGUACUUAUCCUAACUGCCCCAAUCUCUAUCAGUCCAUUCUGGUCUAAGUUUGCUUUUUUUGUUUGUUUGAUUACAUAGUAUCUUCUCUAAAAUCCCUGGGUAAUCCCUGAGAAAAAUGAUAAUUUUCUCUCUAUUAUUAUUUUAAUAAUAAUUAUUAUUAAAUACUUUUAUAGUUUUACAGUCUAUAAUACACAUUAGCCUUCCCUCUCUUCUUCAACCCAUCUAUUUGGCUCUUCAUUCAGUCAAGCUAUGAUAAUCACUUUUUUUCUAUAUUCAAGGAGCUCAAAAUGUAAUGGGGAAGAUAGACAAUAUGUUGUGAGGAGUAGAAUAAUGAAUUUCAAUAUUAAUUAGAUAACAUGUGUAAAAUAUGCUUGCCUAAAUGAGCACCUGGCCGGUAGUAUGGAUCAUCAAAUAUUAGAUAUCCUAUUAUAAGGUAUAAAGAAUAUCACUGAGAAGAAGGACGUGAUUCUUGAGUUAUGUAUUCAAUGAUGAACUGGAGAUUUCUGGGAGAUAAGAGGAGGAAUAAACUUUACAUUCCUUGUCAAGGAAACAACACAACACGUAUUAAAGCCAAACAUGGUGGAAUGCAGACUAAAACAGCAUGUAGUUUUGUGAACUCCAAGUAUUUCCAGAAAAUAAGGGGAGAAGAAGGCAAUGGAUUGGUGGGCUAAGAGGUAAAUCUUGUAGGCAGAUGUUAGUGAAAAAUCUCCUUUAUACAAUGCCAAGUGUUGCAUUUGAACUUGACUCUGGAGCAGAAAGAAUUUGUUUUCAAAUUAUUAAAUGCCUACUCUGUAGCAGAUGGCAUCAUAGAUACUUGACAUUAUCCUAUUUAAACUUCAAGAGAGAUACCAGGUAGAUAGAUAGCAGUCUGACUUCACUGAUAAUGAAAUCAAAGGGUCAACUGUGAAACUAGUACAGACAAAGUUUGAAUGAAGGUCCACUGGACUGAAAGUUCGUAUUCUAUUAUACCACCUUUUAGAAGGGAUUGAAUGAAGUUGGUGGGAGGUAAGGGGUAGCACUCUGACAUGUCUUAAGAAAAUGAAUAAUGUGAAUAAAUGUGCUUUUUAAAAUUAUAACUUUGCAGCAGUGUGGAAAAUUGAAGGAAGAAGGAAGAACCCAGAAGCAGAAAAUCCCAUUAAAACCUAAAGCAAUAAUCUGAUGAGAGGUGUGAGUCUAAACAAAGAUAAUAGGAAAUUCAAAGAAAAUGCUGAACUUGAGACCUAUUUGGAAAAAAUAACUGAUACCAUCAGCAUUCUCAAAAUGCUCAUGGGCAUUUUAUCACAUGAAACUCAUGUUAUGGAGGGUCAACCAUCACAUAUAACAAUCCAAGGACAAGAGGAGGGGAAAGAAAGAGCGAAGAUUUUGCUACAACUGGUCAUUGGUCCUAGCAAGGAUAUUUUAAGAAUGAGCUUUUCAAUAUCAGGCUACAGCUCAAAAUUUAACCUACUUUUUAUAGCAAAUAAGGAAACAUUCCCAGAGCUGAUGAAUAAAAUGAAAUUAGAGGCAGGUAAAGGAUAAAUUUAUCUGCUAUAAUCAAAGAGGCUGUAAUCAAGGGAGAAAGUUAUGAUUUUGCCACAGUUAGUAAAAGAGGAGACCAGGAUGGGUUAUAGAAGCGCUAUGUUAAUGUGCAGGUUGAGGGUUUGGAGGCAGUUUUUAUAAGUUAGUUCACAGAGAUUCUUUAUUCAACUCAAAUAUUUACCUAGUGUUUGUGGCUGCCCAGUAGCCUGGCUGGGCAGUGAUGAAUGCCUCUUCCAGGAUCCCAGCAAUAAUGUUUUUUCAAAAUGUGUAUUUGGAGCCUUAAGGAAUACAAGACCAGAGUUCCCGUCAUGGCCCAGUGGAAAAGAAUCUGACUAGGAACCAUAAGGAUGUGGGUUCGAUCCCUGGCCUCACUCACUGGGUUAAGGAUCUGGGGUUGCCGUGAGCUGUGGUGAAGGUUGCAGACGUGACUUGGAUCUGGCAUUGCUGUGACUGUGGUGUAGGCCAGCAGCUGUAGCUCUGAUUUGACCCCUAUCCUGGGAACCCCCAUAUGCCAAGAGUGCAGCCCUAAAAAGCAAAAAAAAAAAAAAAAAAAGAAGAAAGAAAAGAAAAAAGAAAUAUAAGACCAUGCUGUGAACAAAAUUUUUUAUUUUUAAUACACAUUUUGACAUGUUGAGGACUUUUUAAAAUUAGUAUUGCCUGUUUUUAUUCUACGAACAGGAUGAGUGUGCUUUAGAGAGAUGCAGAGGGCACUUGAGAGUAUACAGGGACCUCUACUAGGGGGCAAUCUGUUCUCAUGGUGUUGGGGAAGAGGAGCUCAAAAAGUCCCCUGAACUGGAGUACCCACUGUGGCUCAGUGGGUUAAGAACCCGACUAGUAUCCAUGAGGAUCGGAUUAGAUCUCUGGCCUUGCUCAGUGGGUUAGGGAUCCAAUAUUGCCAUGAACUGCAGUGUAGAUUGCAGAUGUGGCUCAGAUCUGGCAUUGCUGUGGCUGCGGCACAGGCCAGCAGCUGCAUCUCUGAUUCAACAUCUAACCCGGUAACUAUGCCUUAGGUGUGGCCCUAAAAAGAAAGAGAAAAAAAAAAAUCCCCUGAACAACAUACAAAUAGUCUAGAGUCCCAGGUGGUUCAAGGGGAAGCUGAAUGGCCACCAAAUGAACAUGCAGUUUCCCUGUGUCUGCCAGGGGGAGAAAGUUCUAACAGUCCAGUUUAAAGAGGGGAAGGAUGGUAUCUUUGAUUCCCAGGUCGUAAAGCCAGACACUCCCUUCAAAUGAUCCCUUACUGACAUCACACCAACACCAAACAAGACAGCCUUUCUUGGUGGUGUUCCAGCAAAAUCACUCCAUUGUUUCCCAUGACCUGCAUUAGAGGGAUUUUAUAAUAACACAGUCCUGAUUCUUAACAAGCAGGUACCGUCACAUCACCACUUCAGGCAUAUUACAGAAAACAGACACUUGUCUUCCUUUCUCAGUCCAUGACAAGGAUUUUAAAGUCAUGAGAAAGGCUUAUAUAAUUGUAAGGGAUGCAACUGGACAGAUCCUACAAUGCCUGAAACCUGGAUUUGUGUGUUCCUUAAUGAUUAGAGUAGGGUUGAUCGCCCCGGCUCAUUCUAGAAGUCCUUCAUCUGACACCAGAAGGACAGCUCACUGCGUGAUAGUGCUGCCCUAUAGUCUUUGCUCUUCGUCCCUCUUCGAAGCCCAUCUUCACCUCCCAGAAGGUGCCAGAUACUCCUGGUGUCCCUUUACGACUGUUCUCACCAGCCCACCUUGAUAUAGGACCUUCUGGACUUGACUCCUCCACUAAUGAGAGUGACCUCUUUAUCAGAGUGGACUUACCAGAUUUGCCUGGGCAUAAACACAGUUCCCUGGUAUUACAAGUACCAGGAGGGUGCCAGGACAAUUGACCUGAGGCUUCUGAGAGAUGCUGAACAAAAGUAAAUUUUUCCUAAUUCACAGAUUUUAUUGCAAGGUCAAAUUAAGGCUAUUAAUUCAGCCACUUUUUGUGUAACUUAGGUAGCUUGGUAGUUCAACCUGCAUAUGUUGCUGAGCUUCUUGGGAAAUGAAUCAUGUAAUUGAGUUGUAAGUAAAUGAAUUGAAAAAACACUCAUGAGUAUUUUCUAUGAGACAGAAUUUACCCUUGCUAGGCAAUGGUAAAUUUGAAGUCAGAUCCUAUUAUUUUCCUGGAAGAACUCCAGUCUGGGGAAGUAAACAAAUAAAUAUCCCCAAACUCUAAAAAGAAGACAGAGUAUUAAAAGUGGUAGAGGAGAAGUUCCCAUUGUGGUGCAGCAGAAACGAAUCCAACUAGGAACCAGGAGGUUUCGAGUUUGAUCCCUGGCCUCGCUCAAUGGGUUAAGGAUCCAGCAUUGCCAUGAGCUGUGGUGUGGGUCGCAGACACGGCUUGGAUCUGGUAUUGCUGUGGCUGUGGUGUAGGCUGGCAGCUGUAGCUCCAAUUAGACCCCUAACCUGGGAACCUCCAUAUGCCACAGGGAGUAGGUGACAACGCUGGGAUUUAAGCCCCGUCUGUCUGGGGCCAAAGGCCCAGCUCUGUCCAUUAUUUUGCCCCCACACUGGUUCAGAGGAAAAUGCCCCUCAUUUUGGUUUAAUUUGGUUCCUUUAACCUGUCUUUCUCUUGUCCUGAAAUGCUGAUUGACUCUAACCUUAUUUUUUAAAAUUACAUUUUGCCUGUUCCUUUUAUGCUUUUUUUAGUAGAAAUAUGUUAUAUCAUCUCAGGUAUAAGGACACUUCUUACAGCUCAAGUAGAAGAUAUCACCCUUCUGUAUUUUCUUCUGCAGAAUAACACUAAUUUCUGUAUUUCCAUUACCAUUCAUCAAAGUUGCUAACGAAUUCCCUAUGGUCAUCUAGUUAAUUGGCUAAUUUUGCAUUCUCCAAAGCAAUGUCUUUUAAACAUUGAAAUAAAAAGGCCGUAAUUUCACAUAUGUGGAAAAUAGUCUUAUUUUAUUGUAUACUUGAUUUGCAAAUUUUAAAACUUAGAAUUUUAACUUUUGUGUAUCUUCAUGAACUUAUAUUCCAUAUAACUAAAUAGUGACUUUUCAAGUUUAAACUGUUAUUUAAAAAUAUUAGUUUUAUAUAUAUACAUAUUAUUACUUUUACGGUUUAUAUGACAUUCUAUGAAUAAAAUCAUGCAUCUUAUAAAUAUUUAUAGAACCUGAGAGUCACAAAGUGUAUCAUAAUACAUAGUUGAUGAUAUUACAGAGGCAAAGUGUAUUUAGCCAUACAGGCCAUAAUUAAUAAAUAAAUUAAUAAAAACAAGGAUAAAAAAAUUUAGAAACUAUAACCAGUGCCUUAAUAUCCCCCCUCUUUUAAAAAAUACGCAAAGAAUCUGCAUCACUUAAAAGCAGAGAGCUUUCGGAGAUGUAAUAUGAUAAUCAGCUGUGGAGAUCAAAAUUUUAAUGGGCCAUGCUUUUCAGAGAUAACUAGAAAAUGAAGUAAAGCACUUCCUGAAUUCGUUUCUGUUGCCUGAUACAACAGUUUAUCUCAACUUAUGCAGGCCACCAGUGAUAACCCACCAAUGUGUAAUUUCAAAUGUCCCACGUUGGAUAAUGCACAACUUACUGGUGAAACCGUUCCAUAUGACUAACAAUUUAAUGUCUUAGACAUAAAUUAAAUCUUGCCUAAUAAGGCAUGGUACAUGAUGGAAAGCCCGUUACAUCCAUUCCUUCCAACAGAUAAUUGAUGCAGCCAAGAGACAAAAGAAGGAAUUCACCCUAAAAAAUAAAUGCUUCACAAAGCAAUCUCAUGCCUCACCUAAUGCAAUAUGUUUCUCCUGGGUCUUUUGUUACUCUGUAACAUAUUAAAUUAUCCUCCCGAUUACCUUGGCAACUAAAACAAGAGCACCUAAUAUGCUGACGACUUUUGGAUGAUUACACCAGCUGUCAGUAAGAAAUGAUAAUCAAAGUAUCUUAAUUAUUAAGCAAAAUGAGAAUACUCAAAGUGUUCGUUUUUUAUCAAACUUGCGUCUAAACUGGAGAGAGGAAUCCUUCUACUGACAAAAUUCUUCUUCCACCAGAGAUCAGCAAUGUGGCCCCUUUUUUCUCUGGGGCUGGUAGACAGCUGGAUAAAUUGCAACAACCUUGGAGAGGUGUCAUCUCCCCCUCCCCUUUACACCCCAGUUCUUUCCCUGGGUCUCUUUAGUUAUGAACGUAGCAGAAUGUGAUGAUUUAAAGCUACAUUUUUAGCAGGCUUACCUCCAGAACAAUAGCAAUAAUAACAAAGAGUCAGCCGAAUCAAGGGUCUUUAAACAGCUUAAGCUUUGUAAAAUUGUCCCUUUAUUCUGCUUCUUACCGUCUCCCCCCAGAGGUUAACCAUCUUAAAAGGCUGGCAUUUAGACCGAAAACAGGAACAAAGCAUUACUAGAAAGCAGAGGGCUCUUCCUCCAGCACCAGCAUCUCUGCUUCCCAUAAUUCUUAAGAAAUAUAACAACUCAAUGAAAAAGAACCGAUACCUUUGAAUGAGAACAUUCCAGCAUAGGAAUAUCGUCUUGUUGGCUGCUGUGCAGAAU